This 494-nucleotide ribosomal RNA is filed under the name uncultured bacterium. RNAcentral describes it as "bacterial SSU rRNA". It matches the Rfam family "Bacterial small subunit ribosomal RNA", at positions 30 to 516 of the family's 1533-position model. The record is from RNAcentral.
AUUGAACGCUGGCGGCAGGCCUAACACAUGCAAGUCGAGCGGUAGAGAGGUGCUUGCAUCUCUUGAGAGCGGCGGACGGGUGAGUAAUGCCUAGGAAUCUGCCUAGUGGUGGGGGAUAACGUUCGGAAACGGACGCUAAUACCGCAUACGUCCUACGGGAGAAAGCGGGGGAUCUUCGGACCUCGCGCCAUUAGAUGAGCCUAGGUCGGAUUAGCUAGUUGGUGAGGUAAUGGCUCACCAAGGCGACGAUCCGUAGCUGGUUUGAGAGGAUGAUCAGCCACACUGGAACUGAGACACGGUCCAGACUCCUACGGGAGGCAGCAGUGGGGAAUAUUGGACAAUGGGGGGGAACCCUGAUCCAGCAAUGCCGCGUGUGUGUAGAAGGCCUGAGGGUUGUAAAGCACUUUCAGUGGGAGGAGGGUUGAUAGGUUAAGAGCUAAUUAACUGGACGUUACCUACAGAAGAAGCACCGGCGUAACUCCGUGCCAGCAGCC